RNAcentral lists this transfer RNA (82 nucleotides) under Mariniflexile sp. AS56. RNAcentral's name for it is "tRNA-Tyr". It matches the Rfam family "tRNA". Rfam says of the family: Transfer RNA (tRNA) molecules are approximately 80 nucleotides in length. Their secondary structure includes four short double-helical elements and three loops (D, anti-codon, and T loops). Further hydrogen bonds mediate the characteristic L-shaped molecular structure. tRNAs have two regions of fundamental functional importance: the anti-codon, which is responsible for specific mRNA codon recognition, and the 3' end, to which the tRNAs corresponding amino acid is attached (by aminoacyl-tRNA synthetases). tRNAs cope with the degeneracy of the genetic code in two manners: having more than one tRNA (with a specific anti-codon) for a particular amino acid; and 'wobble' base-pairing, i.e. permitting non-standard base-pairing at the 3rd anti-codon position. RNAcentral also lists the same sequence under 1 other name. The record is from RNAcentral. Lineage: Bacteria; Pseudomonadati; Bacteroidota; Flavobacteriia; Flavobacteriales; Flavobacteriaceae.
GGGGAGAUACUCAAGCGGCCAACGAGGGCAGACUGUAAAUCUGCUGAUUUCAUCUUCGCAGGUUCGAAUCCUGCUCUCCCCA